CAUGUAUAAUUGCACAGUAUGCAACCAAAAAUAUACAUAUAUGUUUUACAUGUAUGUGCUUCUAUAUGCCGUUUGACAUGGGAGAUGAGGGAUGUUAUAUAUAGUUCUGUUAUUUUCUAUCAUGUAUGUGUGUUAGAGUGUCUGUGUUAAUAUACUUUUUAAUGCAUGCUCUACAUAAUAUACAGUAGUAAUAACACAGAGAAUACGUAUGGAAUGCGUAUCUCUCUAUAUAUAUUUAUGUAUAUAUGCUAUGUGUAUAUCAACCUCGCAUAUUUUCUCCCUGUUGACCACGGCUCCCACAACGUGUCGCGAUGGAUGACUUGGCUUCCUAUUUCGUUGAAGAACGCAGCAAAGUGCGGUAAGUGGUAUCAAUUGCAGAAUCAUUUCAUUGCCCAAUCUUUGAACGCAAACGGCGCAUGGGAGAAGCU
RNAcentral lists this ribosomal RNA (428 nucleotides) under Trypanosoma evansi. Its description in RNAcentral is "partial 5.8S ribosomal RNA". The stretch from base 301 to 428 matches the Rfam family "5.8S ribosomal RNA", at positions 1 to 128 of the family's 154-position model. Lineage: Eukaryota; Euglenozoa; Kinetoplastea; Trypanosomatida; Trypanosomatidae. The record is from RNAcentral.